Molecule: ribosomal RNA, 958 nt
Filed under: Conus quercinus
Lineage: Eukaryota; Metazoa; Mollusca; Gastropoda; Neogastropoda; Conidae
Description: 12S ribosomal RNA
Rfam family: Microsporidia small subunit ribosomal RNA (bases 239-958)
Source: RNAcentral
UAUCAUAACUUAAACCUGAUUAUCAACCUAAUAAAAAAUAAUAGUAAGCACAAAGCUAAAGAAUUAGAUAGUAAAAAACUUGGCUCUGAUUUUAUGUAUGGCAUAUACUAUAGGAUACACAUGGUUUUUUUAGAAAGAGAUGAGGUGGAAGGCAAAUGUUUGGAACGGGCAUAAAGUUAUAAAAACAUAGUUUUCUGGGAUGUUAUAGACGAAGAUGAUAUUCUGAAAUACCCAUUAACUCCAGUGUUGAAGAUUAGGAUAGAAGCGAAAGCUUGCAUUAGUUUAGUAAGAUAAAAUUUGGUUAAUUUGGUGCCAGCAUCCGCGGUUAAACCAAGAAAUUUAGUCAUUCUUUUACGGUAAAAAGACAGUUAGGCUGAAAACUAAAAGCCAUGAGAUUUUUAAUAUAGGAGUAAAAUCUAAGUAUUAAAAGAUAUUCCAGGCAUGGUUUAUUUAAGAUGCUGAAUCUGUGACAACUUUAAGGGAAACUGGGAUUGGAUACCCCAUUAUUUUUAGUUGUAAAUUUAGUCUAAGCUUACCGGAGUACUACGAAUCAAAAAAUUUAAAACUCAAAGGGCUUGGCGGUGUUUUAGACCUCUCAGGGGAACCUGUCUCAUAAUCGACAAUCCGCGCUAAACCUGACCUUUUCUGGUAAUGCAGCCUGUAUACCGUCGUCGUCAGGUAACUUCUUAAAAUAUAGUAGUUAGCUAGAGAAUUGUAUUAAUUAGGACGUCAGAUCAAGGUGCAGCUAAUGAGAGGGUGAAGAUGGGUUACAAUUACAAAUUUGUAAUAACGGAAAGGCGUUUGAAAUUAAAUGCCUUAAAGGAGGACUUGAAAGUAAUUUUAAGUAAAUAAAUAAAAUGAAUAAGGCUCUGAAACGUGCACACAUCGCCCGUCGCUCUCGUUGAAAAAUGAGAUAAGUCGUAACAUAGUAGGGGUAAUGGAAAUUGUUCCUGGGCUG